UACAAACAAAGCAUUUGUUUGA
Molecule: microRNA, 22 nt
Filed under: Bombyx mori (domestic silkworm)
Lineage: Eukaryota; Metazoa; Arthropoda; Insecta; Lepidoptera; Bombycidae
Description: bmo-miR-2831
Source: miRBase by way of RNAcentral